UGUUUUUUUUGUGUAUUUAGAGUUUCUUUGUGAAUAUUUUUGCUUUGGGUACAAAAAAUUACAAACUUUCUGUUAGUGCCCGUAGUUUUCAAAUUUGAAUAGUUUAAAUUUUGAAUUAUUUGAAAUUAGUGUGAAUCACUAGUUUGUGAAUAACUUAACUUUAAAAAUCAGUAAAGGCAUGAAAGAAUUUGUUUGCACAUAAAAUUUCUUCGCGUUUCAAAUGCCAAAACACAUAAUUAACUACCCUAACUAUUACGGAGAUUCCCUUCUGGGUGUGAAACACAGAAGAAAGUGAUGAUAGUGAAGCCGAUCACAUCCCAGAUCUUUGGAUGUGAAACUUUUUCUUCGCAUGUGUCCCUCUGUGCCGUAACCAUGGAAAAUCUUCAUCAUUUAACGGGAUGCUCGGGUCAAUAUUCACUGUGAAUGGAGCAAUUUCAUCAAAUUUUUCAUAAUCUUCCGACUUGUCUGUCUUGUCAUCCACUCCCAUGAUGUUUCUCUUCCCAGAAAGAACUAUGUGUCACUUUGGCUCAUCGUACGAUGCAUUCGCUUCCUUAUCUUUUCUUUUUCUUGGCUUGGUAGACAUGUCCUUCACAUAGAAAACCUGUGCCACAUCAUUGGCUAGGACGAAUGGUUCGUCUGCAUACGCAAGAUUGUUGAGAUCCACUGUUGUCAUUCUGUACUGCGGGUCUUCCGUUACCCCGCCUCGUGUCAUAUUGACCCAUUUGCACCGAAACAAAGGGACCUUCAAACCACGUCGAUAGUCAAGUUCCCAUAUGUCCUGUAUAUAACCAUAAUAUAUUUCCUUUCUCGUCUUGGUUUCUGCAUCAAAGCGGACACCACUGUUUUGGUUGGUGCUCUUCUUAUCUUGGGCGAUCGUGUAAAAUGUAUUACCAUUUAUCUCAUACCCUUUGAAAGUCAUUAUAUUCGAAGAUGGUAACUGGGACAGCAAGUACAGGUCAUCUUCAAUAGAGGUGUCAUGCAUGGUACGUGUCUGCAACCAGCUGGCGAAACUCCUGGUUUGUUCACGUGUAAUCUAGUCAUCAGACCGCUCCGGGUGUUUGGAGCGUAGAAAAUUCUUGUGUUCAUCCAUAUACGGAGCCACCAAGGCGGAAUUCUGUAGAACUGUGUAGUGUGCUUCAGUGAGAGAAUGUCCGUCCAUACAUAUUAUUUGUUCCCCUCCUAGCGUGUCUUUUCCAUCCAGUCUGCCCUUAUGCCGCGAUUCAGGAACACCAGACGGCUUAAGGUCAGGAAUAAAGUCAAUCCAAAACUCAAUGACCUCCUCAUUUUGACGGACCUUGGAGAUGCUUCCUUCUGGCCUAGCACGGUUAUGAACAUAUUUCUUUAAGACUCCCAUGAACCUCUCAAAGGGGAACAUAUUGUGUAGAAAUACAGGACCCAAAACGUUAAUCUCUUCGCAUAGGUGAACUAGGACGUGUGUCAUGAUGUUGAAGAAGGAUGGUGGGAACACCAACUCGAAACUGACAAGACAUUGCACCAAAUCAUUCUCUAACCUUGGUAUGAUUUCGGGAUCGAUUACCUUCUGAGAGAUUGCAUUGAGAAAUGCACAUAGCUUCACAAUGGCUAAUCGAACAUUUUCCUGUAGAAGCCCCCUCAAUGCAACCAGAAGCAAUUGCGUCAUAAUCACGUGGCAGUCAUGAGACUUUAGGUUCUGGAACUUUUUCUCUGCCAUGUUUAUUAUUCCCUUUAUAUUCGACGAGAAGCCAGACGGUACCUUAAUACUGAGCAGGCAUUCAAAGAAGAUUUCCUUCUCUUCUUUGGUAAGAGCGUAGCUUGCAUGACCCUGAUGUAUGCCGUCUUUUCCGUGCAUACUUUGCUGGUCCUCUCGUGCCUCAGGUGUAUCUUUUGUCUUCCCAUACACACCCAAGAAGCCAAGCAGGGUCACACAAAGAUUCUUCGUCACGUGCAUCACGUUGAUUGCGGAGCGGACCUCUAGGUCUUUCCAAUAGGGCAGGUCCCAAAAUAUAUAUUUCUUCUUCCACAUGGGUGCGCGUCCGUCAGCGUCGUUCAGAACAGGUUGUCCACCAAGACCCUUUCCAAAGACCACCUUCAAAUCCUUGACCAUAUCAUGUACAUCAGCACCAGUAUGGUGGCGAGGCUUCGUCCGGUGAUCCGCCUCACCUUUGAAAUGCUUGCCUUUCUUUCUUACGGGAUGCCUGCUCGGAAGAAAUCGACGAUGUCCCAGGUACACAUUCUUCUUACAAUUAGCCAAAUAUAUACUAUCAGUAUCGUCCAAACAGUGCAUGCAUGCGCAGUAUCCCUUGUUUGUCUGUCCUGAAAGGUUACUAAGAGCAGGCCAAUCAUUGAUGGUCACGAACAGCAACGCCUUUAGGUCAAAUUCUUCCCCCAUGUGCUCAUCCCACGCACGUACACCUGUUCCAUUCCACAGUUGUAAGAGUUCUUCAACUAAUGGCCUUAGGUACACAUCAAUGCCGUUGCCGGGUUGUUAGGGCCUUGGAUGAGCACUGGUAUCAUAAUGAACUUCCGUUUCAUGCACAACCAAGGAGGAAGGUUAUACAAACAUAGAGUCACAGGCCAGGUGCUAUGGUUGCUGCUCUGCUCCCCAAAAGGAUUACUGCCAUCUGCGCUUAGACCAAACCAUACGCUCCUUGCGUCAUCUGCAAACUCCUUCCCGUACUUUCUUUUGAUUUUUCUCCACUGCGACCCGUCAGCGGGUACUCUCAACUUUCCGUCUUUCUUACGGUCUUCUCUGUGCCAUCGCAUCGCCUUGGCAUGCUCUUUGUUCUGGAACAAACGUUUCAACCGUGGUAUUAUAGAAGCAUACCACAUCACCUUGGCAGGAAUCUUCUUCCUGGGGCGCUCGCCCUCGACAUCACCAGGGUCAUCGCGGCUGAUCUUAUAGCACAAUGCACCACAUACCGGGCAAGCGUUCAAAUCCUCGUACUCACCGCGAUAGAGGAUGCAAUCAUUAGGGCAUGCAUGUAUCUUCUGCACCUCUAACCCUAGAGGGCAGACAACCUUCUUUGCUUCGUACGUACUCUCGGGCAAUUCAUUGUCCUUUGGAAGCAUAUCCUUUAUCAUUACCAGCAACUUUCCAAAUCCCUUGUCAGAUACACCAUUCUCUGCCUUCCAUUGCAGCAAUUCUAGUGUGGUGCCCAGCUUUUUCUUGUCACCUACGCAAUUCGGGUACAACAAUUUUUUGUGAUCCUCUAACAUGAGCUGCAACUUCUUCUUCUCCAAAUCACUUGCACAGUUUCUCUUUGCAUCGGCAAUGGCCCGACAUAGAUCAUCAAUGGGCUCAUCUGAUGCCUCUUCUUCAGCUUCUUCCCGCAUUGCCGGCUCAGCUUCUUCCCGCAUUACCGGCUCAGCUUCUUCCCCCAUUGUUGUAUCAUCGUAUUCAGGGAACCCAUGGCCAGGAUAGCUGUCGUCGUCCUCUUCUUCUUCAUUGUCUUCCAUCAUAACCCCUCUUUCUCCGUGCUUGGUCCAAACAUUAUAGUGGGGCAUGAAACCGGACUUAAACAGGUGGACGUGAAUGGUUCUUGACGUAGAGUAAUUGUGACCAUUCUUUCAGCCAGCACAUGGACAAGGCAUAAAACCAUCCGCCCGCUUGUUUGCCUCAGCCGCAAGCAGAAAAGUAUGCACGCCCUCAAUGAACUGGGGAGAGCAUCGGUCAUCGUACAUCCAUUGCUGGCUCAUCUUCAUUACACAACACCGAAUAGACCAAAUUAAUACAAGUUCAUACAACAGUUAAAUGCAACAAACAAAUAACUCUCUAGCUAAAGCAUUUAAAUGCAACAACAAAUGCGAUCAAGAUCGCAACUAAGGUAACAAUGGAUCCAACAGCAUAAUGAUACCAAGCCUCACUAUCGAUGGCAUAUUUUCUAAUCUUUCUAAUCUUCAAGCGCAUUUUCUCCAUCUUGAUCUUGUGAUCAUCGACGACAUCGGCAACAUGCAACUCCAAUUCCAUCUUCUCCCCCUCAAUUCUUUUCAAUUUUUCUUUCAAGUACUCGUUUUCUCUUUCAACUAAAUUUAACCUCUCGACAAUAGGGUCGGUUGGAAUUUCCGGUUCACAUACCUCCUAGAAAAAAUUUCUAUGUCAACUUGAUGGGCAUAAUUUGUCAUAAACACGAAAUGCAACUAGUUUUAAAAGAGAAUAUAUAUACCAUAUCUGAAUCAUAACAAGGACGAGGGCCGACGGGGACGGAUAUCAAAACCAUGGCACUAUAUGUACAACAAACAACGUACGGGUAAGAUAAUUAUAUGAGUAACUAUAUAUCCAAAUCACACAAACAUCAAUUUAUAUAUAAAAUUUCAUGAACAAGAGGCUCACCACAAGGUGGUGCCGGCGACGGGACGGUGCGGGCGAUCGAUGGUGGUUACGACGGAGAUUUAGAAGGCACUAAGUAAAUCACACCUACAUAUGCAAACUAAGUGUUAUUUUUGACCUCAAAUUGCAUAUAAAUCAAAUACUAGCACAUAUAUAUAUAUCCUCCCAAAUUACUAAACUCACAAAUUAAUCACUAUAUAAAGCAUUGCAAGCGCUAAUCUAGCAAUGAGAGAUGAAAGGACAAAGUUGCUAACCUUUGUGAUCAUUUGAAUGGAUGGGGGCCUUCAAAUCUUGACAAUUUUUGGGCAAAAUGUGUGAUGAGCUCGAGAGGAAGAGGGGAAGAACAGAGAGAGGAGAGGGGAAAGGGGAAGAACAGAGCGAGCUCGGGUGGACGAAGGGUUUAUGUAGGAUGACCUUUAGUACCGGUUCGUGCCAAGAACCGGUACUAAAGGGGCUGGAGGGGACCCAGUCUGACAACAUCCUGCCACCACUCUCAUUACUACCGGUUCGUGGCACUAACCGGUGCUAAAGGUUCGCCACGAACCGGUACUAAUGAAAGCGGCCCGGCUAGUCGUUGGAACCGGCACUAAUGUAUACAUUAGUGCCGGCUCAAAUACAAACCAGCACUAAUGUGCUUCACGUUUGACCCUUUUUCUACUAGUGACAAGUAGGGCUAAGAAAAGAUAAAUUUUCAGCACAUUCAUCUAGCUCUUCUUGCAACAAUUUGGUUUCUAAGUACUUAUGCCUCUUGCAAUAUCUAUCUUCCCUAUUUUGUGUGUACUUACAAACCCAAUGCACUCCACAAAAAUUGACAUGUUUAUAGGAGGCAUUUUCAUCAUAACUAGUGCAAUCAUCAUUAGUACUAUGGAUAUUCAAGGAGUUCAUACUAACAACAUUGCAAUCAUGCUCAUCAUUCAAAGUUUUAGUGCCAAACAUUUUAAUGCAUUCUUCUUCUAAUACUUUGGCACAAUUUUCCUUUCCAUCAUACUCACGAAAGAUAUUAAAAAGAUGAAGCGUAUGAGACAAACUCAAUUCCAUUUUUUUGUAGUUUUCUUUUAUAAACUAGACUAGUGCUAAAACAAGAAACAAAAAGAUUCGAUUGCAAGAUCUAAAGAUAUACCUUCACUUACCUAGCCUCCCCGGCAACGGCGCCAGAAACUGCUUGAUGUCUACUACGCAACCUUCUUCUUGUAGACGUUGUUGGGCCUCCAAGUGCAGAGGUUUGUAGGACAGUAGCAAAUUUCCCUCAAGUGGAUGACUUAAGGUUUAUCAAUCCGUGGGAGGCGUAGGUUCAAGAUGGUCUCUCUCAAACAACCCUACAACCAAAUAACAGAGAGUCUCGUGUGUCCCCAACACACCCAAUACAAUGGUAAAUUGUAUAGAUGCACUAGUUCGGCGAAGAGAUGGUGAUACAAGUGCAAUUAAUAUGGAUGGUAGAUAUAGGUUUUUGUAAUCUGAAAAUAUAAAAACAGCAAGAUAACAAGCGGUAAAGUGAACGUAAAUGGUAUUGCAAUGCUAGGAAACAAGGCCUAGGGUUCAUACUUUCACUAGUGCAAGUUCUCUCAACAAUAAUAACAUAAUUGGAUCAUAUAACUAUCCCUCAACAUGCAACAAAGAGUCACUCCAAAGUCACUAAUAGCGGAGAACAAACGAAGAGAUUAUGGUGGGUACGAAACCACCUCAAAGUUAUUCUUUCCAAUCAAUCUGUUGGGCUAUUCCUAUAAGUGUCACAAACAGCCCUAGAGUUCGUACUAGAAUAACACCUUAAGACACAAAUCAACCAAAACCCUAAUGUCACCUAGAUACUCCAAUGUCACCUCAAGUAUCCGUGGGUAUGAUUAUACGAUAUGCAUCACACAAUCUCAAUUCAUCUACUCAAACCAACACAUAGAACCUCAAAGAGCGCCCAAAGUUUCUACCAGAGAAUCACGACGAAAACGUGUGCCAACCCCUAUGCAUAGGUUCAUGGGCGCAACCCGCAAGUUGAUCACCAAAACAUACAUCAAGUGAAUCACGUGAUAUCCCAUUGUCACCACAGAUACGCACGACAAGACAUACAUCAAGUGUUCUCAAAUCUUUAAAGACUCAAUCCGAUAAGACUACUUCAAAGGGAAAACUCAAUCCACUACAAGAGAGAAGAGGGGGAGAAGAAAUAUAAGAUCCAACUAUAAUAGCAAAGCUCACGAUACAUCAAGAUUGUGCCAAAUCAAGAACAAGAGAGAGAGAGAGAGAGAGAGAGAGAGAGAUCAAACACAUAGCUACUGGUACAUACCCUCGGCCCUGAGGGUGAACUACUCCCUCCUCGUAAUGGAGAGCGAUGGGAUGAUGAAGAUGGCCACCGGUGAGGGUUCCCCCUCUGGCAGGGUGCCGGAACAGGGUCCCGAUUAGUUUUUGGUGGCUACAGAGGCUUGCGGCGGCGGAACUCCCGAUAUAUUCUCCGUUCUGGAAGUUUUAGGGUAUGUAGGUAUAUAUGGGUGCAGGAAGUACGUCGGUGGAGCUUCGAGGGGCCCACGAGGCAGGGGGCGCGCCCUAGGGGGGUGGGCGCGCCCCCCACCCUCGUGAGCACCUCCCUUUGCUCCUGACGUGGGGUCCAAGUCCAUCCGAUAGGUUUCCUUCCAAAAAUAACUUCUCCAGUUGAUUUCGUUCCGUUUCGACUCCGUUUGAUAUUCCUUUUCUUCGAAACACUGAAAUAGGCAAAAAAAUAGCAAAUCUGGGUUGGGCCUCCAGUUAAUAGGUUAGUCCCAAAAAUAAUAUAAAAGUGGAUAAUAAAGCCCAAUAUUGCCCAAAACAGUAGAUAAUAUAGCAUGGAGCAAUCAAAAAUUAUAGAUAUGUUGGAGACGUAGCACCCCUCCCCUCUCUUUUGGAUCCGACUCUCGUGGAGGACUUAAAAAGGAAAAGAAAACAGAAGGAGUUAGGACUUUGAGUCGUAUUGGACUGGAGCAAGGCCUAAUUUAAUGCACCAGUGGGCCGGGUGAAGGCCCAAUGAAGAGAUCAUGUGAGCUGGCUGGUGACACAGACCGAAUGCAAGGAAAUCAAGCAUGGCGUUUUCCUUUUUUAGCCUAUACUAGCAAAAGUGACCGUGCGUUGCAACGGGAGAAACAAAUUAUCACCCCUAGCGCCCCCAUCCAUGUUGCCUCUUCUUUUCUUUGUCAUCAUUGUGGGUCACGAUGUCCACCACACGCCGAACGUUCCACCUAAACUUGGAACAAAUAAAGAAUUGCAUUGCCUGCAUGGACAGAUAAGCGAACGGUCGUGUUUGAGACCCCGGUCAAAUUUACAUAAUCUAAUGCUUGCGCCUUGUGUUUGUGUGAUCCGGAUUUUACAUCGUGGUAGUUUAGUACCAGUCCGUGAAGGACACAAACAACCACCAAAUUCAACUUUAGUUGAAAACGAUCAACACCUUUUUUGCGGAUAACACGAUCAGCACCAAAACAGUGGAUGUUGCGAGUUUGAUUAGCAAAAAAAAAACUAUUUUUGCCUCAUCUCCUAAACGGGGUGGUGGGUUUGAUUUGUUGGGCUGGGUCGCACGGACAGGUUGGGAGGGCACUACUUUUUAUUGGUGGAAUGUUGCGCUGGUGAACGGGGUAGGGGCCAAGUGGCCCAGGACAAACGAUUGGGAAUAGCCUAGCUCAGUAUGAAGAAACGCCAUGGACAUAUGAAAUGGGAGGACCAAUAAUAUUAACCUCCAUUUAUGUAAAAAUAGUAUAUAUAUGCCCGUGAGUUAUAAUGCUAUAAACAAUUAACAUAAAUUUAAUGAGGACUGUAUGCCCAAACAUAAUGUUCAAUGUGUUACAAAUUUGGUGCAAGCUUAGUAAGGAUUACAAGUGCAAGAAAAAAAUGUCAGGUUGUCUGUUUCAAUGAAAGAAAAAAUGGCUUGAAUUAGUGAGGAUCAUGUAGGAAAAAGGAUGGCACUUUAUCUUUAUCCGUAAGAUAAGAUAUGAAUGAGGGCCCACGUCCUUCAAAAAAUCUGUAAUUACCGUAUGUUCACUUCCCCUCUCUUUCCUUUCUCUUUCCUUCUUUAUUUCUCAUGCAAUUAGUGUCUAUUUUAUUUCUUUUUAUUUUCUUAUAUCAUCCAUGUGACGAAUCCCAUUUGUCAGCCUAUUAAUUACUCCUGCGAUUAAUAUGGCGUCCACAAUAAUUACCGUCUAUUGCCUUCAUUUCUCUUUCCUUUCUCAUUCCUUCUUUAUUUCUCAUGAAAUGUCUAUAUGCCCGUGAGUUAUAAUGCUAUAAACAAUUGACAUAAAUUUAGUGAGGACUGUAUGCGCAAACAUAAUGUUCAAUGUGUUAUAAACUUGGUGCAAGCUUAGUAAGGAUUAUAAGUGCAAGGAAAAAAUGCCAGGUUGUUUAUUGCAAUGAAAGAAAAAAAAUGGCUUGAAUUAGUGAGGAUCAUGUAGGAAAAGAAUGGCACUUCAUUUUUAUUCAUAAGAUAAGAUAUGAAUGAGAGCCCACGUCCAUUAAAAAUCUGUAAUUAUCGUAUAUUUAUUUCCGCUCUCUUUUCUUUCUCCUUCCUUCUUUAUUUCUCAUGCAAUUAGUGUCUAUUUUAUUUCUUUUUCUUUCCUUAUAUCAUCCAUGUGACGAAUCCCAUUUGUCGGCCUAUUAAUUACUCCUGCGAUUAAUAUGGUGUCCACAAUAAUUACCGUCUAUUGCCUUCCUUUCUCUUUCUUUUCUCCUUCCUUCUUUAUUUCUCAUGCAAUGUCUAUAUGUCCGUGAGUUACAAUGGUAGAAACAAUUGACAUAAAUUUAGUGAGGACUGUAUGCGCAAACAUAAUGUUCAAUGUGUUAUGAACUUGGUGCAAGCUUAGUAAGGAUUAUAAGUGCAAGGAAAAAAUGACAGGUUGUCUGUUGCAACGAAAGAAAAAAAUGGCUUGAAUUAGUGAGGAUCAUGUAGGAAAAGAAUGUCACUUCAUCUUUAUUCGUAAGAUAAGAUAUGAAUGAGGGCCCACGCCCUUUAAAAAUUUGUAAUUAUCGUAUAUUUACUUCCCCUCUUUUUCCUUUCUCCUUCCUUCUUUAUUUCUCAUGCAAUUAGUGUCUAUUAUAUUUGUUUGCUUUUUUUUAUUUCUCAUAUGCAAUGUCUAUUUUCCUCCUCUCUCUCCUAUUGCUCUGCCCCUCAUUUGUUCCGUUAAGGACAAAUCUUAUUCAUGCCAUAUUCUUUGCUUAAUUUCUGAAGCAGCUCCUUGAUGCUUGACAACCUAAGAACGUAUAUAAACUGGUAAAAAAUUAUGUAAAAUAGCAAGGUGGGACUAUUUAUGAAAAACAGUCUCCAGCCUACUCUCCUUGUCCGUCCACUGGGCCGCAGCAGUCCGACUGGCCCAGCGCGCCCGUGCUCAUUGCCUCAGCCCGUCUACGCCUCAUCUUAUAUUCUUAAAAGGGUAGACGACAAUGUUAGUACACUCAUGGGCCUAGGCGGAUUGGUCUGCUAUGUUGUAGUACACCUGGUAGACCACGGAUCAAAUCCCAGCGCCCACCACUUUCUUCCCCUUUUUCAAUUUAAUUCAAAUACAAAUUCAAACUGAAAGCGUAAAAUCACGGGAAGAAGCGUAUUGUGACGGUGAACCCGACAAAGUCAAUCCAUGCUUUAUUAUUACUAGCACAUAUACCCGUGCGUUGCAACGGGAGAUAUAGUGACGUAUCCACCGAAAUAUCCAGCAACAUCUCCCAAGAAUAUCUCAAUGAUGCCACCCGGCAACGGCAGGAAGGCGCGCACCAAGGUCUAGUAAUACUUCAUAUCAAUUGUACGGGUGUGGCCAAUUCACGCGAAUUCAUGUGGGUGAGAUUAGUUAGUGUGGGCCCCACGGUUGAAUUAGGAGGGUGAUUAGUUAGUGUGGGCCCACCCUUGAAUUCACCGGGGAGAGAAAUUAAUUAGGAUGAGGAGAGAUUUACGUGGCUUCGUCCCCAGAUGUGUUGCGGAGCGUUGCAACGCUCGCAGGCGAGGAAGUCUUUUCCCAGUUGUACAUUAAGAAACAUGCUACAUAUACAAUGCUUUUGAUACGAUUUUUAUACGAUGAUUCUGAUCUUAAAAAGCCCCCUAAUUUUUAAAUCUUAAAGGCAUUAUUUGUAAGCUGUCAUGAAAAAGAAUCUCACUAAGCUUUAUAAAUAAUGAAUUAUAAUUCCUUCGCAUUUGAACAAACAAUCCCUAGUUCUUUACAAAAAAUCCUUUGCACCUAGCUCAAUAAACACAACUCAUGACCCUCCAAAGGUCUAUGUCCUUCAGUUGAAAUUAUACUUCUUCCCAUCCUCAUCAAUAGUGCCCACGGUGUCUCAUCCUCUGAAGGCAAUGCGUUCGAACAUGACCAAUUCGAACACGGUGAUCUCCGCCUCUACAUGACACACCUGCAAUUGAGAUACACCAGCGCAAGGUAGUGUUUAUACUUUGAAAACUAAUCCCGUCGAGUUGGCCAUGAGGGACACUCUCCGUGAGCUACACCCUACACGUACCACUUAGGAUGGUGAUAAUUUCCGAUGUCAUGAAGCCAUCGGCUCCUCCAUGAAAUAAGUUUUCAUCUUUUUGGAUUUCUUCUCAAGUCAAAAUGCUUUAGAAAAAAUGGUAGCAUUUUCUUUUUGCCAGAGUAACGCUAGACAGAAUGUCGAGACUAAACAGCCCAUUCAAGUGGUCGAGAAACGCUACACAGAAUUGUUGGUCGAGACUAACCCAUUCCCUUUAAUGUUGAUUCCUUCUUAAAUCAUGCAUGGCAGCCCUCAAUUCCCGUUUAACGCUGAUUCCUGCACCUUUCUCUGCCCUCCUCCUUCCUUUCCAUCCCGACUUCUCUUUUUGUAGACGCCGAUUUAUAAAUCGGCAGGUCUUUCCCUCCGUUUAAUUAGGCCAAUAUAUGUUGGGUCUCUCUCCCAUUAACUCCAUCUUUGAAAGAAUCCUUGAUUGGAGGCUGCUUAUUGUCUUGAGCUCACAAACAUAUUUAAACUGGUGGGAUUUUGUAAAGAAAAAUGAUAUGGGAUUAUCUUGUGAACAGUUCGUCAUGUUAGGAUUAGGAGUUUGAUCGGGCAAUUAUUUUUACCGUAUUUUUGGGCCACGUCGCAGAGGAUGGAUGGAUGGACUGAGGUCCAAGAAUUCUGCUAGACGGGCGUAGCCGAUUAACAUAAGAAAAUCCGGCUAAUGGUGAUAGAUAAUGAGCGCUAGCUCAGCUGGUACUUUAGGGGUCUUUCAUCCAAGACGUUUUGUGUUCGAUCCCCGUGAGGAUCGGCGGCUUUAUUUAUUUUUAGCUGCAGUAUAUGUGCUCGCCGAUCGUAUCCUUCGCAUGUGUCUUAAAUGGGCCAGGAUAGGUGGGCGACGCUGGUGGAGGUCUACGUACGGUAUGAAAAACGAAUCGGGACGGACGGACGGACGUGCUAUUAAUACCAUCUCGUUUAUAUUAUGAUUUUGUCUAUACAAAUCGUAAAAACGUAUUAUGACAUGAGAAGAAAGCGUAUUGUGACGGUGAAUCCGGAGACCCAAUCCGUGCUUUAUUAUUAGGGAGAGAUUAAGAUUAAAACGAGAUAAUAAAACGAAAUGUUUUUGGAUUCACUAAAGUAGGAUGGCGGUUUUAAUUCCUAAAAAGCACAUGGACCUUUGUGUAAAAAAGACGCGACGGUGAACCCGAUAAAAUCAAUAUGUGCUUUAUUAUUAUUAUUAUUAGGGAAAGAAAGAAGGAAUUUUACAUCCCUUGGAAAAAUUGACAGACGUUCAUUGAUUCGGAUCCAAUGGUUAAAUAUUGAAAGAUAACUGUUACACAGAACCUAAAUAGUGGGCCAGGAACUGAUUUUGAAAAUUGGUCCGGGGAUAUUAUGAUGAAAAAAAAUGUAUGUAAAGGUUGAAGUGCUAUCCAGUGAGGGAAAGCUGAUCACAAAGCUAAAAAAAUCAGAGUUUAGACCAGAUUAGCGAAAACAAAAUCAGAGUAACUAUAUGGAUAAUUGCUAAAUUAGCUCCCAAAUCAAAUCAAAAUGCAGCGGUAUGCUGUCCAACUAUGAGCUUUAGGUGCACUUAGCCAACACCAUUUCUCAUUUUUAUUUACUUCGCGUUUGGGGUUUUGUUAAAGUCAAAAUUUGUCAAGUUUGACCAAAAAUAGAGAAAAAAUAUAGCCAUUAAUUAAGGACUCUUGAUUGUUGAGUAAUGGUAGCAUGCAGUUUCACAAUUAUUUUAGUUUUAUAACAGCAGGAAAAUGAUGCUAAAAUUGAGGUAUUGGGUUCCUUGGAUCCUUGUCUGCUGGUCUGGUUUAUUUUAGUUUUAUAACACCGGCGUGCAUGCAAGGAAGGAAUGAGAAAGAAGUAGCUCAAUAUUAAACAAGUUGGUACUACCUCUUUUCCGGUUUAUAGAGCUCAAUUUAAAAAUCUCACCAAUCAAGGUAGAUGAUGAAUGGUAGAACAAUUUUUGUAGUUUGCAAAACCACUUAAUUAAUGCACUUGUUUUUCUAAAAAUUAUGUUUAUCAAUGCAUUAUUUGCAAUGCAUGCAUUAUAAAGUACAUGCAUUGGUCAUUUUUCUCUUAAUACUUGUAUGCAAUGAUUUAUUGCGCCUUGAAAUCUGAACAUGUGAUGAAAAACAAGAUAAUCCCUAUAAACCGAAAAGGAGAGAGUAGUACAAGAAAACAUCAUUAACCUUGUAUAGAUGCAAAAUGUAUUUUUCAUAAUGGCCUUGUAUAAAGGAAUGGAUUCUUGGUUUCCCACUCACCCAAGUUCAGUUCAAAUAAAAUGGCAUGAAUAGAUCAAACACAAGGAAAUAGAUAAUAUGAUCUGACAAACAUAGACAAAGUUCCACAUGUGGCACAUGCCUUCCUUCACUUAUUUUGCUUCUAGCUCCUUUCUUAGACGAAUUUUUCUAUGAUCUAGAAGAAUUUUUCUAGGACCCAGAUGACCUUCACUUCAACUUGUUCACCAUCAAAUUCUCUUUUUUGAGUCCUAAUUCUACGGGGUAACUCUAGACUUUCUUCACUCCUAAUUCUACGGCUGCAGUCUAGACAGAAUUUCAAAUUCUUGUCCUCUUCUUGGCUGUCACAGGUUGUGAUUACUCUUAGGUCCACCUCUAUGUGGAGUUUGUACUUGCUACGAUCAGGCAAUGCAAUCAUGUGUGGUCCCAGUGGAAGAAUGCACGUGGAACCACAGGGCAGGGACAAGCUACUGCCUCGUUCAAAACUGAAGAGAUUGACGCUUUUGCUCCCAUAGUCAAUGGCAAUUGCCUUGACGCUACCAUACACAGAGCGGCUUCUCGAACCGAAGUCUUUGAGGUUCAACCUGACCUCAACAUAGGUCUCAACUGCUUCCGGAAUCACCAAGUAUGUGAUCUCCAACUUGCGGCCAAGGCCUCCAUAGAUGGUUUGUGUGAAUUCCUCAACUUCAUCAGGCUCAGUAACAUCCCAGCCUCGGCGGAAAUGACCGCUCCAAGACCCCUCAUCAUCAGUAGAAGACCCCUCAUCGUCUUCUGUGAAAACCAGGUCUUCUGUGAAAACCUCCAAGCAAAAGGCACCGUAAGCCUGUAGUAUCCCACAUGGUCCAGCGAGUACCAAAUCCUUUCCUUCCU
RNAcentral lists this long non-coding RNA (13809 nucleotides) under Triticum aestivum (bread wheat). RNAcentral's name for it is "long non-coding RNA (TAES_LNC010495)". The record is from RNAcentral. Lineage: Eukaryota; Viridiplantae; Streptophyta; Magnoliopsida; Poales; Poaceae.